RNAcentral lists this transfer RNA (67 nucleotides) under Fukomys damarensis (Damara mole-rat). It matches the Rfam family "tRNA". From Rfam's summary of the family: Transfer RNA (tRNA) molecules are approximately 80 nucleotides in length. The record is from Rfam by way of RNAcentral. Lineage: Eukaryota; Metazoa; Chordata; Mammalia; Rodentia; Bathyergidae.
UGGGGUGUAGCUCAGUGGUAGAAUACUUGCCUAUAGAAGGCCCUGGGUUCAAUCCCCAGUACCUCAU